AUGAGACCAUGUGACUAUGUGACUAUGUGACUAGGUGCUUCAGGGGGUUACAGAUGAGACUAUGUGACUAGGUGCUUCAGGGGGGUACAGAUGAGACUAUGUGACUAUGUGACUAGGUACUUCAGGGAGGUACAGAUGAGACUAUGUGACUAGGUGCUUCAGGGGGGUACAGAUGUGACCAUGUGACUAUGUGACUAUGUGUUUCAGGGAGGUACAGAUGAGACUAUGUGACUAUGUGACUAUGUGACUAUGUGUUUCAGGGGGGUACAGAUGAGACUAUGUGAUUAUGUGACUAUGUGACUAGGUGCUUCAGGGGGUUACAGAUGAGACUAUGUGACUAGGUGCUUCAGGGGGGUACAGAUGAUACUAUGUGACUAUGUGACUAUGUGACUAGGUGCUUUAGGGGGUUACAGAUGAGACUAUGUGACUAGGUGCUUCAGGGGGUUACAGAUGAGACUAUGUGACUAGGUGCUUCAGG
This is a long non-coding RNA of Oncorhynchus tshawytscha (Chinook salmon), 478 nucleotides long. Lineage: Eukaryota; Metazoa; Chordata; Actinopteri; Salmoniformes; Salmonidae. The record is from Ensembl.